GAUUUCUGGCUUGAAACAUUUAGCCGGCCACGGUUUCGUGUGUUAGUGUUAGAUGUUCUGGCCAUCCUUCCAAUUGCUAUUCAUCUUUCUUCAUUGAUGGGUGAGUGGUAUUGGAUCUUUUACUUUGAAAAAAUUAGAGUGUUUCAAGCAGGCUUAAUGCUAUGAAUACAUUAGCAUGGAAUAAUAAUUUAGGACUUCGGUUCUAUUUUGUUGGUGUUCUGGAGCUGAAGUAAUGAUUGAUAGGGAUAGUUGGGGGUGCUAGUAUUCAAUGGCCAGAGGUGAAAUUCUCGGAUUCCUUGAAGACUAACUUAUGCGAAAGCAUU
RNAcentral lists this ribosomal RNA (323 nucleotides) under uncultured Sandonidae. Its description in RNAcentral is "SSU rRNA". The stretch from base 113 to 323 matches the Rfam family "Eukaryotic small subunit ribosomal RNA", at positions 745 to 955 of the family's 1831-position model. Lineage: Eukaryota; Cercozoa; Glissomonadida; Viridiraptoridae. The record is from RNAcentral.